This 4171-nucleotide long non-coding RNA is filed under the name Sarcophilus harrisii (Tasmanian devil). RNAcentral's name for it is "lncRNA (ENSSHAG00000027366.1)". Lineage: Eukaryota; Metazoa; Chordata; Mammalia; Dasyuromorphia; Dasyuridae. The record is from RNAcentral.
UUCGGGGACCAGAAGGACCCUCCCAGCAGGGGCUGGCUGAAAACAGGAACUUGAAACUGAGCUCUCUCGGUCUCUUCCCCUUGGAGCCGAAAUCUUUCGGUUUUCUUCCUCAGAACUGGGAUCCCUGUGCCGUCCCCGGACUUGGGGUCUCUCCGUCUCCUCCCAUCAGCUGAGAUCUCUCCGCUUGUUCCCCUCGGAGCUGAGAUCUCUCUCCCAUCUUCUCUCGCAGCAGAGAUCUCUCUUCAUUAGGAGCUGAGACCCCUCUGCUUCUUAAGCUCCGCUCUGCCCGGGCAGGUGGCAGGGGGGCCCGCGGCCAGCCUCGGAAGAGAAGGCAACGACAAAGUCACCGCCCUCCGCCUUCCUUGCCCCUCCCCAGCUUGGUCUGCCGAGGGCCAAAGCCGGGAAUCAGGGGGAAUGGCCCCUGGGAGCCAGAGACCUUCGUCCCAGGUGAGUGCGGUCCCUCCGCGGAGCUGAGCAGCAUCAGCCCAGGGGGAGUCCGAGGGAGCCCAAGAAGCUUCCUCCUGUCAGAGGGAGGGGGGCGCUGGCAGAGCAGGCAGCAGGGCAGGAGUCACCCUCCUGCCCAUUUCCUUCUGCCCCCAGUCAUGCAUUGCUCCCAGGGCUCUCUGAACCCCUCGCCUUUGCUGGUUCUUAAGUCAAAAAGCGUUUCGAAAAUGGUUACACAGUGUCAGGUGGUGUUCUUCCGUGGGUACAAAGUAUCCAGUCGAGAAAUCAAAGAAACUCAACUUUCCCCAAAGGAAAGAAAACUCAGUUCCUGCCCUCAAAGAACUCCCAGUCUAAACACCUACGUUACGUCCACACAAGCGCCUGACACUCUCAGAGGGAGACUCUGGAAGUUCUGGGGACCAGGAAAAGCUGGUUUUCAGGAGGUGAGAUUUUAGCUGAGAUGUGACAGCAGCCACGAGGGGUGGCAGAAAGAAGGAGGCCAUUCUGAUUGUGAGAGAAGCCAUCGGGAUGGAGGAUCUUGGUCAAGGAUCAGCCAGGAGCCCCGUGUCCCUGGGUCAGAGAGAGCAGGUGGAGGGGAGGAAGGGGUGAGAAGAUGAGAAAGGGGCUUGGUUAUAUAGUGUCCGCUACAUGUCAGGAUCCUUAGAAUGAUUAAAUCAUUUGAGUCUGUUGGGAAAAUUAAAACAGCCAGGAAAUGACAGUACCUGAUGCAGUUACAUGUACAUGACAGCUUUGUGAUCCAUUCAAGAGUGAGAGACAUUUUGAUUAAAUAUUAUGGAUCUAUGGAUGAAUCUAUGUGUUCAUAUAUAUCUGUAUCUCUAUCCUUCUUCCUCAGCUCCUUGAUCUAGGGCACUUAGGCAAGGAAAGGAAUAGGAAAAGGGAAAGGAAGGAAGGAAAGAAGGGAAGAAGGAAGGAAGGAAAGGAGAGAGAGGCUGCUUCUAUUGUUCAAAGGCCUUUAGCAGUGAGGUGGUCCAGUAGAUACACUGCCCAGCCUGAAGUCAGGAAUAUCUCACUUUAAAUUCAGCCUGUGUGAUCCUGGGCAAGUUACUUAACCCUGUUUGCCUCAAUUUCCUGAGUCAGAAAAUAUGCUGGAGGAGGAAGUGCCAAACUACUCCAGUAUCUUUGCCAAGAACAUCCCAAAUGGGAUGGAUAAGAUUCAAAAUUGUGAACCUCAACAACAAAGGAAACAGUAGCUUCUUUAAUAAUCAUCUGGUCCAAUUGUCGUUGUUAAGAUGCUGUUCCUUUGCUAGCUAAAGGGAAGGAGGAGGGUGGUUCUGGAACUCUUCCUAUCUUGAGAGAUUUCUUUUGGAAUGUGGGGCUGGGGAAGGUUCUGAAGGAGACCUUCAGUAAAUUUUCAAGAGGUAUCAGGUUUUAAGGUCAAGAAUUAUCACGUCACAAAAUAGAGUCAGUUUGUUUUCCCCACAAUCCACUAUGGACACUCUUCCCAACAAAACUGGGAGGUGGAUGUGCUUAUUAUCUUUUUUUUUUUUAAGUAUUUUAUUUUUUUUUCAGUUCCUUGUAAAAAAUGUUAAACAUUAGUUUUAAAAAUUUUUAAGUUUUAAAUUUUCUUCCUUUCUUUCUACUCAUCAUCCCUUAGUGAGAAGGCAUUCAAUAUGAUCCAUUAUAGGUGUAUAGUUAUGUACAACAUAUUUCCAUAUUAGUUACAUUGUAAAAGAAAGCAUAGACCAAAAAACUCAAGAAAAAGAGAGUUAAGAUAUGCUUUACACUGUAGUGAGACACAAUUAGUUCUUUCUUUGGGGAUAGAUAGCAUUUUUCAUACUAAGUCCUUUAGAGUUCUCUUGUAUCUCUGUUUCUGAUAAGAGCUAAGUCAUUCAUAGUUGUCCAUCUUAUGUUAUUGCCAUUACUUUGUGCACAGGACACGUUACUCAGCUCCUCGAAUUCUUUACAGUUUUUUCUGAGAACACUCUGCCCAUCAUUUCUCAUAGCAUAAUAAUAUUCCAUUACAAUCAUAUACCACAAUUUCUUUAGCCAUCUCCUAAUUAACAAGUAUCCCAUUAAUUUCCAAUUCUUUGCCAGCAGAAAAUAGCUUCUAGAAGUAUUUUUGUUCAUUUAAAUCCUUUUUCUUUUUGUUUUUUAUCUCUUUUGGGAAACAGACUUAGUAGUGAUCUUGCUAGGUCAAAGAGUAUGCAUUUUAUAACCCUUUGGGUAUAGUUUCAAAUUGCUGUAGAAUUAGUUCAGUCACUUCACAAUUCAACUUAUAGUGCAUUCAUGCUUCAUUUUCUCCACACCUCCUCCAACUUUUGUCAUCCUUCUUUUUGUCCUGUUAGAUAAUCUAAUAGGUAUGAAGUAAUACCUUAGAGUGGUUUUAAAUUGCAUUUCUCCCAUCAAGAAUGAGUUAGAGCAUUUUUUUCAUAUGUAUAUAUUUCAAAAAUCUAUGAUAGAUUUGAUUACUUCAUCUGGAAACUUCAUAUAUUUUGAUCAUUUAUCAAUUGGGGAAUGGCUCUUAUUUUUUUAUAACUUUGACUCAGUUCUCUAUAUGUUUGAGAAAUGAAGCUUUUAUUAGAGAACUUGCUUCAAAAAUUUUUUUCACAGUUAUGAUUCCUGACUGUAUUUCCCUUUAUUUUAUUUCUCCCUCUGUUUAUUCUGUUCUCUCUCUCCCUUCACUCUGUCUUUCCUUAAAAGUAUUUUACUUCUGACUACUGCCUUUCCUAAAGUACCCUCCCUUCUAUUAUCCCGAAUCUUUUUUCUUGUAAGAUAGAUUUCUAUAUCUAAUUGACUUUGUCCCUUUCCUUUUCUCCCAGUUAAUUCCUCUUUUACUCCUUAAUUUUUUUUUUAGAUGUUAUCUCUUCAUAUUCAACUGAUACCUUUGCCUUCUGUCUUUGUAUGCUCCUUCUAAUUGCUCUAAUAAUGAGAAAGUUCUUAUAAGUUACAUGUAUCUUCUUUGCAGGUAGGAAUGUAAAUAGCUUAACUUUAUAAAGUCCUUCAUUAUUUCUCUUUCCUGUUUUACCAUUUUAUACUUCUCUUCAGUCUUGUGUUUGAAAGUCAGAUUUUCUAGUUAGCUCUGGUCUUUUCAACAAAAAAGUAUGAAAAUCCUUUAUUUCAUUUAAUAUCCAUUUUUUCCCCUGAAGGAUUAUACUCUAUUUUGCUGAAUAGGUGAGUCUUGGUUGUAAUUCUAAUUCCCUUGCUCUCUAGAAUAUCAUACGUUAACCCAUCUGAUCCUUUAAUGUAGAAGCUGCUUAAUCUUGUGUUAUUGUUACUAUGGAUAGAGUGGGAUAGUAAAAUGGUAGGUCUGGUAGUUUGGCUCUUUACUGUAUCCCCUAAAUGGAGGAUCCCUUGGAGUGAAGAACAGCUUGAAGCAGAAUGACCCACUAGCAAGCUGUUAUAGAGUCCAAGGGUGUGGUGAUAAGGACCUACACCAAGCUGACUGUGGAGAAGGGGAUGAAUUGGGGAGGUAGUGUAAAAGUGACUUGGACAGUGUUGGCAGUAGAUUGGGGGGGGGGGAUCGGAAUCAAGGCUGACACCUGGGCUAAGAGUUUGAAGGACCUGGAGGAUGGUAUUGUCCUUUACAGUAAAUGAGGGAGUUUUAGGGGAGGCUUUAAAGGGAAAGAUAAUGAGUUCUGUUUGGAUACCUUGAAUUUGAGAUAUCAAUUAGACAUCCAUUCUAGAUGUCUGAAAGGGAGUUGGCAGGAGAGGUAGCUCAGUUUAAAUACUCAAUUUUCAAAGCAAAAGAAGAGACAAGAUGCUUAGA